This is a long non-coding RNA of Manduca sexta (tobacco hornworm), 1170 nucleotides long. RefSeq lists it as uncharacterized. The transcript has 3 exons. NCBI's taxonomy places the organism in Eukaryota, Metazoa, Arthropoda, Insecta, Lepidoptera, Sphingidae. The record is from RefSeq and is a predicted model, not a curated record.
AAUAUAAUGUAAUGGAUUAGGUGCUCUAAUUUCUCUUAAUAAUUACCAUUUGUCACGCAAUUCCUAGAGUCCAGACGAUUCCAGCCAAUGAUACUAUACCAGAUAUUGAAAGGCGUCUCGCGGUCAAAUGGAACGACGAACUCUUAAACAGCGCACUGAAAUGAAUAUGGGAAUCAACAACUAUAAUUUCUAUGCAAUAAUGAUCUAGAUUAUUAUUUAAAGGCAUUUAAUUGAGCACAUUGUAGCCUAAAUUACCGAAGGUGCUAUAAAUGUGCAGUCGUGAGUGAUCCUUGUAACAUAAUGUGUGGUAUUCAUUGUCAUACAUAGGUCUAUACGUUCAAAAACUAUUGAAAAUGAAAUAUAAUUUAACACACCUAUAUAUUGGUUACAAAUUCUACAGUCGAUGCCUAAUUAAAAUUGCUACGUAAACAAGAUAAAUACAUGAACAAUUAAUAUACGAUAAAAAAAUAAAAAUAAAUAAAAAAUGUACGUAGAAAUGACAACCUUCCUCUCUUUUCUGAAAUCAGUUAAAAAUAUAUAAUCACUUCGUCUAGGAAUCGAAGAAUCAAUCUAAAUAAUGUUCCAAUUUCCCACUCAUUCCUACGCUUAAAACAAACCCUCAUUAUGUAACAUACCAUAGGAUUACUAUGUUUAUGUGAUAAACACAGUAAUUAUUCACCUCGUUACAUCCAAGAAUAGAUUUACCUUAUUCUGUUUAAAAUUGCAUGCAUAAAAUAACAUUCUGUUUGCGGACUGAGCUUGACCUCCUUAGAGGAUUGAAGACUGAUAAGUGACGAUAGCGAGUGCACUACAGUACGCGAAUGUAUAAAUAACUGAGACCUUCGGCCGUGGGCGACACUUUGUUUUUAUUUAUUCUAGAAACUGCGCUUUCAUUGAACAUCGGAAAUUCAAGAUAUCGAUGUCAUUGAACUACCCUUAAUAUAUACAAAGGCCCUGUACGUUAACGUCGGCUUUUUGUAAAUAUUUGCUGGUGCGUAGUAAAUUGUACUUCCACCGAACUGCAUCGGGUAUUAACCUAUACCUGUUGACGGUCCUACGCAGAAGGAUUCACUGUCCUGAAGUCUGGCAGCCUUCACUACACCAUGCUGAAAAGUGUUCGAAACUACAGAAGAAAAUUAUAAAAUAAAAAAACCUAAUAAAAUCCGAAAA